UUUAACUUCAUAUCCUAGUCAAGGUUGAAUUGAGUCGUGGAAAUUCUAUAAGCACACCAAUACUUCUCUCAAAGUUAUUAGCGUCUAAAUCAAAGAGGAUUUGUGUGAGUCUCUCUAACCCUAAUCUAACAUGAUAGCAUUAAGAGCAAGGAAUUUCUUGCCAAGGGUGAGCACGUGUCUACUUGCUCAAAGGUGAGCCCGGCUUCUAACCUAAGAGUAGCCCUAGGCGGAGGAAGAUGCUCAAUCUCUUGAUGCACCUUCAAUCUCCUUCGGCAAGGUUAGGAGAUAAUCUGUUGAGAAUUUGGCUACAAGUUUUCGAGGUGGCAAGACUUCAAUAAAGGGCAAAGAAGCUAUGAAGGAGUAGAAGCCAAGUCCCUAUUUUCUAGCCUAAAAGCUUUGGAAUAGAAAGCCCCGCCUAUUGCAAUAUGGGUCCCCACUGUCAGGCCUACCAAGAAACUAUGUUGUUGAUUGGAUAUAAUCACCGCAUUUAUUAGGUGCGAAGAGAAUCUAACAGGGAAAUUAGAGGGACACCUCCAAGAAAACUGAGGCACAAUGAUUCACUACAUGUAUGGACUCAUCGUCCAACAUCAUUGUGGGCUAAUUUUAUUUUUUUAUAGCAUUUAACCUUGGUGAACCUAGACUUAGCCGCAUCAAAGGCUAGGUUCAUGCUAACUUCUUGAGAGCCCUUAGAGUUGAUUUAUAUUAAAAAGGCAUUACAUCUAAUUUUGAAAUUGUUCUUUAUUUAUUUAUAGUAUUUGGGGUUCAAAAUUUUGUUUUCACGUUCUUCUUGUAUUUUUGUUAAAUUGUCUAUCCACUCACCAAGUAAUUAUGUUGCUCAUCAUAUUUUUCAUUCAUAUUUUCUAUGCUUACGCUGCUAGCUUAGGUUGUGCUUUACAGCAUUGUUGUAUCGAGCUAUGUCAAUGGUCCCAAACUACUUGCAUUGUUAGCU
Dioscorea cayenensis subsp. rotundata (Guinea yam) is the source of this 949-nucleotide long non-coding RNA. RefSeq lists it as uncharacterized. The transcript has 3 exons. The record is from RefSeq and is a predicted model, not a curated record. NCBI's taxonomy places the organism in Eukaryota, Viridiplantae, Streptophyta, Magnoliopsida, Dioscoreales, Dioscoreaceae.